GGAGCCGGCCAGACAGUCGCGUCAUCCAUACGGAUGCCGAGGAAAGUCCGGGCUCCACAGGGUGCGAUGCCAGGUAACGCCUGGGCGGCGCGAGCCGACGGAAAGUGCAACAGAAAGAUACCGCCCAAGACUGCUCCGGCAGGACGGCAAGGGUGAAAUGGUGCGGUAAGAGCGCACCGCGAGCCGGGCAACCGGCCGGCACGGCAAACCCCAUCGGGAGCAAGACCAAAUAGGGAGGCGAUGUCGUGACCCGCGACGCCUCCGGGUAGGUUGCUGGAGCCCUGCAGCGAUGCAGGGCCGAGAGGAAUGACUGUCCACGACAGAACCCGGCUUACCGGCCGGCUCCGCCA
This 350-nucleotide RNase P RNA is filed under the name Solilutibacter oculi. RNAcentral describes it as "Lysobacter oculi Bacterial RNase P class A". It matches the Rfam family "Bacterial RNase P class A". Rfam says of the family: Ribonuclease P (RNase P) is a ubiquitous endoribonuclease, found in archaea, bacteria and eukarya as well as chloroplasts and mitochondria. Its best characterised activity is the generation of mature 5'-ends of tRNAs by cleaving the 5'-leader elements of precursor-tRNAs. Cellular RNase Ps are ribonucleoproteins. The record is from Rfam by way of RNAcentral. Lineage: Bacteria; Pseudomonadati; Pseudomonadota; Gammaproteobacteria; Lysobacterales; Lysobacteraceae.